ACCGUACUCCUACGGGAGGCAGCAGUGGGGAAUAUUGCGCAAUGGGGGAAACCCUGACGCAGCAACGCCGCGUGGAUGAUGAAGGCCCUAGGGUUGUAAAAUCCUUUCGUUGGGGACGAUAAUGACGGUACCCAAAGAAGAAGCUCCGGCUAACUUCGUGCCAGCAGCCGCGGUAAUACGGAGGGGGGCUAGCGUUGUUCGGAUUUACUGGGCGUAAAGCGCGUGUAGGCGGACUUGUAAGUUGGGGGUGAAAUCCCGAGGCUCAACCUCGGAACUGCCUCCAAAACUACAAGUCUGGACUCAAGUAGAGGCAAGUGGAAUUGCGAGUGUAGAGGUGAAAUUAGUAGAUAUUCGCAGGAACACCAGUGGCGAAGGCGACUUGCUGGACUUGUAGUGGCGCUGAGACGCGAAAACGUGGGGAGCAAACAGGAUUAGAAACCCGAGUAGUCCUUGAC
RNAcentral lists this ribosomal RNA (455 nucleotides) under uncultured bacterium. RNAcentral's name for it is "bacterial SSU rRNA". It matches the Rfam family "Bacterial small subunit ribosomal RNA", at positions 330 to 801 of the family's 1533-position model. The record is from RNAcentral.